AAUAUAGCGCAAUGGAGGGAACUCUGACGCAGCGACGCCGCGUGAGCGAUGUAGGUCUUCGGAUCGUAAAGCUCUGUCCUUUGGGAAGAAGGUCUUCGGACUUGACGGUACCUAAGGGGGACGCCCCGGCUAAUUACGUGCCAGCAGCCGCGGUAAUACGUAGGGGGCAAGCGUUGUCCGGAAUUAUUGGGCGUAAAGGGUUCGUAGGCGGCCGUUUAAGUCAGAUGUGAAAGCCCACGGCUUAACCGUGGGACUGCAUCUGAAACUGGUGGGCUUGAGUAUCGGAGAGGGUAGUGGAAUUCCCAGUGUAGCGGUGGAAUGCGUAGAUAUUGGGAGGAACACCAGUGGCGAAGGCGACUACCUGGACGAAAACUGACGCUGAGGCAUGAAAGCUAGGGGAGCAAAC
RNAcentral lists this ribosomal RNA (406 nucleotides) under uncultured bacterium. RNAcentral describes it as "partial 16S ribosomal RNA". It matches the Rfam family "Bacterial small subunit ribosomal RNA", at positions 360 to 773 of the family's 1533-position model. The record is from RNAcentral.